UACACUGUAAAAAAUUUCUGUAAAUUUACAGCAUAUUAACAGCGUAAAUAUACAGUACUGAACUGUUUUCUAAAAUUACGGUGUCUUACCGUAAAUGCACACGUGAUUGGUGGGAGAGGGGGAACCAAAGGCUAGCUGAGGCAUGGAGGAGCAUGGUUUCAGUCAAAGUUUUAUGGAUUUCAUCUCAAGUUGAGGCUCAUUUACAGGUAAGCAGAUCAAAGUCUGAAUACAUUUUUAUCUUAAACUGCAGCGUUUUUUUUAAUGUGGGCACAAUAUUUUAAUUUACCUUUGACAAAUCUUGCCAAGACAGUGAACUAGCAUCUAUGCAAUUUUUACAAAUUUCUCCUGAAAGUUAAGUGUGUAUGUGUGUUUGUGAAGGAUUUGCAUUGUUUUUUUUUUCUUUCCUGGUGUAAAAUCCUGUAAAAAAAAAAAACCUUGUAAAUAGUUAAAUAUAAAAUACUUGCGUUCGCUGAUUAUUUCAUUGGAUAUGAAUUGAACAUAUUCGGCAACGGUAGAAGAUGAGCACGUGAUCGGUGGGGGAGGGGAGCAACGGUUAGCGUCUGAUACCAGAGAAAAGCAUCAUCAGUCUCAGUGAAUAAAACGGAUAUUAUCUCAAAUAUAAUCUCGAUUACAGAUUGCAGAUAACGAGGAUAUGAAGUUGCAGCAUCUGCAUCUGAGGUUGAGAAGACACUCAAUCUACCUGCCAAUCCUCAUCUGAUUUUGCUGGGUUAGUGUGUCAUUGCACAUGAUGAAGAAGAAACAUUUACUGAUGGCUGAGAUAUAAAAUUGUUAACCUUGCUGUUGUGCACAAUUGUUAAAAUUGCUUCUUUUUUUUUUGUGAGUGUCCAGUCAACAUUUUUGACUGCAGUUGCAACAGUGUUUGCUGUGUACUACAUCUUCAACCUGCAGUAUCAAGAGGCGGCUUGUUGCACGUUAGAAUUUUUUCAAAGAUGAUUCUAUGGAAUAAACCCAGAAAGAGGCUCAAAGACCUGCCGAGGCAAGGUAGUCUCCAAGAAGAUGGGGAAGGUGGUGAAUAAGAAGUCCACUACAGUCAAUCCAAAGGUUGCCACUCUACAAAAAAAUCGAAUGGACUUCAAAUGGGACUUCA
Long non-coding RNA from Carassius gibelio (silver crucian carp), 1108 nucleotides. RefSeq lists it as uncharacterized. The transcript has 3 exons. Lineage: Eukaryota; Metazoa; Chordata; Actinopteri; Cypriniformes; Cyprinidae. The record is from RefSeq and is a predicted model, not a curated record.